GAAGCUUUGAAUUGAAGCCCGAGUAAACGGCGGCCGUAACUAUAACGGUCCUAAGGUAGCGAAAUUCCUUGUCGGUUAAAUACCGACCUGCAUGAAUGGCGUAACGAGAUGGGAGCUGUCUCAAAGAGUGAUUCAGUGAAAUUGUAGUGGAGGUGAAAAUUCCUCCUACCCGCGGCAAGACGGAAAGACCCCGUGGACCUUUACUACAGCUUGGCACUGCCGAUGGGAACAUUAUGCGCAGCAUAGGUGGGAGGCUUUGAAAUCUUUACUCCGGUAGAGAUGGAGCCAUCGUUGAGAUACCACCCUUAAUGUUUCUGUCUGCUAACU
Molecule: non-coding RNA, 327 nt
Filed under: Helicobacter sp. MIT 05-5294
Lineage: Bacteria; Pseudomonadati; Campylobacterota; Epsilonproteobacteria; Campylobacterales; Helicobacteraceae
Description: bacterial LSU rRNA
Rfam family: Bacterial large subunit ribosomal RNA
Source: RNAcentral